Molecule: ribosomal RNA, 538 nt
Filed under: Odontotermes sp. ENT-MG154
Lineage: Eukaryota; Metazoa; Arthropoda; Insecta; Blattodea; Termitidae
Description: partial small subunit ribosomal RNA
Rfam family: Bacterial large subunit ribosomal RNA
Source: RNAcentral
AAAAACAUCUUUUCUUGUUAGUUUCUGAAGUACGGCCUGCCCGCUGACGUAUUUUUAGUUGAAGGGCCGCGGUAUUUUGACCGUGCAAAGGUAGCAUAGUCAUUAGUUCUUUAAUUGUGAUCUGGUAUGAAUGGCUUGACGAGACAUGAGCUGUCUUGGGUGUGAAUUUGUUGUUGAAUUUGGAGUUUAAGUUAAAAUUCUUAGAUGUUUUUAUGGGACGAGAAGACCCUAUAGAGUUUGACAUUUGAUUGCGUAUUUCUUGUUGUUUGUUUUUAAUUUUUGCUCAUCUUUUGUUUUGUUGGGGUGAUGGGAGGAAUUUAUUUAACUCCUCUUUUAUGUGGCAUACUGAUUUGUGGUUGUUUUGAUCCAUUUAUUUUGAUUGUAAGAUUAAAUUACCUUAGGGAUAACAGCGUUAUCUUCCCUGAGAGUUCUUAUUGGCGGGGGGGUUUGCGACCUCGAUGUUGGAUUAAGGUUAAUUUUUGGUGUAGGAGCUGAAUUGAUUGGGUCUGUUCGACCUUUAAAAUCUUACGUGAUCUGA